This 539-nucleotide ribosomal RNA is filed under the name uncultured bacterium. Its description in RNAcentral is "bacterial SSU rRNA". It matches the Rfam family "Bacterial small subunit ribosomal RNA", at positions 356 to 896 of the family's 1533-position model. The record is from RNAcentral.
GAGGAAUAUUGGUCAAUGGACGGAAGUCUGAACCAGCCAAGUAGCGUGCAGGAAGACGGCCCUAUGGGUUGUAAACUGCUUUUGUAUGGGGAUAAAGUUAGGGACGUGUCCCUAUUUGCAGGUACCAUACGAAUAAGGACCGGCUAAUUCCGUGCCAGCAGCCGCGGUAAUACGGAAGGUCCAGGCGUUAUCCGGAUUUAUUGGGUUUAAAGGGAGCGUAGGCUGGAGAUUAAGUGUGUUGUGAAAUGUAGACGCUCAACGUCUGAAUUGCAGCGCAUACUGGUUUCCUUGAGUACGCACAACGUUGGCGGAAUUCGUCGUGUAGCGGUGAAAUGCUUAGAUAUGACGAAGAACUCCGAUUGCGAAGGCAGCUGACGGGAGCGCAACUGACGCUUAAGCUCGAAGGUGCGGGUAUCAAACAGGAUUAGAUACCCUGGUAGUCCGCACAGUAAACGAUGGAUGCCCGCUGUUGGUACCUGGUAUCAGCGGCUAAGCGAAAGCAUUAAGCAUCCCACCUGGGGAGUACGCCGGCAACGGUG